UACGGGGGGAGCAAGCGUUAAUCGGAAUUACUGGGCGUAAAGGGUGCGUAGGCGGUGCAUUAGGUCUGUCGUGAAAUCCCCGGGCUCAACCUGGGAAUGGCGGCGUAAACCGGUGUACAAGAGUAUGGGAGAGGGUGGUGGAAUUACGCGUGUAGCGGUUAAAUGCGUAGAGAUUCGCAGGAACAUCAGUGGCGAAGGUGGCCACCUGUCACAAUACUGAAGCUGAGGUACGACAGCGUGGGGAGCAAACACG
RNAcentral lists this ribosomal RNA (253 nucleotides) under uncultured bacterium. RNAcentral's name for it is "partial 16S ribosomal RNA". It matches the Rfam family "Bacterial small subunit ribosomal RNA", at positions 524 to 776 of the family's 1533-position model. The record is from RNAcentral.